AAGAGACAGCAGCAGCCACGGGAAUACGUAGGGUGCAAGCGUUAAACGGAAUUACUGGGCGUAAAGCGUGCGCAGGCGGUUCGGAAAGAAAGAUGUGAAAUCCCAGGGCUCAACCUUGGAACUGCAUUUUUAACUACCGGACUAGAGUAUGUCAGAGGGAGGUGGAAUUCCACGUGUAGCAGUGAAAUGCGUAGAUAUGUGGAGGAACACCGAUGGCGAAGGCAGCCUCCUGGGAUAAUACUGACGCUCAUGCACGAAAGCGUGGGGAGCAAACAGGCUUAGAUACCCGUGUAGUCCCUGUCUCUUAUAC
This 310-nucleotide ribosomal RNA is filed under the name uncultured bacterium. RNAcentral's name for it is "partial 16S ribosomal RNA". It matches the Rfam family "Bacterial small subunit ribosomal RNA", at positions 503 to 807 of the family's 1533-position model. The record is from RNAcentral.